CUUACCUCAGGUGUUUUACCUCAGAUUUUGGAAAGUCAAGGCUCAAUGAUACUUUUUAAGCCUCUACAGGAUUAAAUGUAUAGAUCUUACAACCCAGAGCUGUUUAACACUUGCUUCUAGUGUGUUUCAGAAAGCUUCACAUGUGAGAUAAAUGCACUCAAAGACUCCUCACAAGUAGCUCUUUGGAGCUUCAGAUGUGAAAUGGAUCAUUCCUCAAUCUGUAAUAGACCCUUCUGUGAAGCUCUUCAAUCAAACCUGAGAAUUCAAGGCAUUUUGUAGCAUCCUAAACAGAAAGAUAUUGAAGGGAGCUGAUUCUGCUUUGAUCCUUGCGCUUGUUGUCAAAGCGCUUGGGAUUGAAGAGACUGUUGGCUACAAUUGACUGUGACAAUUAGGAGAUGAUCAGAGCCCUAGAGUGGAGCACUUAAAGGGUUUGCAUUUAAAACACUCUUGGAGAACUAAUUGUAUAAAAUUCUGGUAACUGCACAUUCACUUUUUAGAGAGGUAAUGAGCGAGUGAAUGAAAAGGCAGGGAUUAUUUGCCAUUCUAAGAGCUGGGAUUGUCAGAACAUUUCUACUUGACUGAAAUUGUUUUGGAAGGAGAGAGAUGGCUUAAUCCCGUAUCGUUUUGGGCUAUCCAGAACCCUCGGCCUGGAAGAUGGUAGGAGAAUUUUGGCUUCAGAGAACGGGACUGGCUUUGUCUUCUCCAGUGCUACAAACUCAGUGCCUAGCAAAGUGCUUUGAAUGUAGAAUACCUUCCUGGCAAAUAAGCGAGUAUGUAAGCAAGCAGACUCAACAGCUUUCUUGGAAGGAGUCAGCCGCUGCAGGGGGCAUCUCGCAUAAUGGAAGAACAUCCUUAAAUAGAAAAAUCUCGAUUCAGGAAAAUUUAAAAAAAAAAAAAGAAAAGAAAAGAAAAGAAAGAAAGAAAAGCUCUAGCCAUGGUGACACUGUGAGAAAUGAAUGUCAAGUUCUCCUGGGUUGCUAGAAUGUUUGCACAAGGCAGCAGUGAAGAAACAAGGGAGGAGACUCCGCAUGCCCAUGAAGAUGCUGUGGUCCUGAAGGUGCCGGCCUUGAAUUAUGUAGAAGGGAGUGAUGGAGCUUUUUGGAUUGGUCCCAUUCUGCUUUGGGCUACUGUGGCUUUCAGUGUGCGGUUCAGUUCAUUGGCACCAGAUACCGAAGAAACGAAGGUCAAGGGUGUGAGCCUCACUUGGGCCAGGAGGCUGCGUACUUUUCCAACAGGUUGUGUGGCGAUUCAGUCUGGUCACGGUAGAAAUGCUGGCCUGAAAGGGGGCUGGUGAACAUGUGAGUGAUUGGGUGAAAAGCCAGCCCCAUUCCCGGAAAAGCAAAGCCGGAGCCCUACUGUCAUUUUUCCAACUGGAGAGAAUGUACCACUUAAAAUGUGAGCUUGUUACUCAACCUCCCUGUGUCUCUGUGUCCUCAUCUGGAGAAUGGAGAUAAGAUUUGCUUGCUUUCUACCUCACCAGGAUCUGAGAAGAUUAGAUAAUGGCUAUAAAGUCCUUCUACAAAGGUAUGAGCAUUAUCAUAAACAAGGAGAUUAGUCAACAAAUAAAGAAAAAAUUUUCUUAAAGGACCUCCCAAAGUGUGUUACCUAAUCAUUUUUUGAUUCAAUAUCAGUAGUUUGCAGUCUCCCCCCCCACCCCUUUCGAAUUUGGUUUAGCUGCAAAAAGUUAGGUGUGAAUGUUUGACCUUUCUAGUUGUUUAGAAGGUGAAAACAUUGUUUGAUAGCAAAAAUGUCUAUUAAUCAAAACAAAGUGGGCUUUGAAUCCGACACAGGUUUUCUUUGAAAAAGGAGGUGAGGGCAAGCGUCUCUAGGAACAUACAUGCCACUGAGGAAUAUUUGCAUGCAUUUGAUCUGCAAGCGCGCUUCGGUGAUUUUCACAGUCUACCUUGGAGUUUAAGUUGUCGCCGUCGCUCAGCGGCACCAUCCUCUCUCUCCAGCUUUAUUAUGGCACACAGCGACAACUUCAUUUUUAGCAUUAAAAAAAAAAUCCUCUUCACUUAAUUCAGACAGUGACCUGCAGGCCUCAUUCUGACUGAAGGAGCCAUUCAGAAUACUUGCAGACAAAAGCAGGGCUUUUUCCUAGCAACCAGAUCAAAGCCAAAUCUCCCAGAAUAGCUCCCUCCCAGGUUUUCUUUGGCGCAUAGGUUCACAAGGCUCGUGGUAUCCAGUUCAAACUACUCUUUCAAACUGAAAUGGAAAGGAAAACUCCUGAGGAAUUUUCGCAGACUCUGAAAACUGGCGAGCGUUGCGAGGGCACUUAAUCUUGGGAGAACACGGUGGUCAUUUGGAGCAUCCCUAACUUUGUUAUCGCCGCAUCUGCAUGAACAUUCUGUCGGACUUCCACAGAAUGAGGUCUCUGUUUCCUUUCUGCCAGUACCUAAUAUCAGCUAUGCCCAGGAGCCGGCUGAUGAAGACUUCCUGUUUGUUUUGAGUCACUGUUAGAGUGAUAAAUAUACUUUAGCUUUCUGCUUCAAGAGGAAAGAAACCAGCUGCCCUGAACUACAGAGAAAAAUGCAGAAAUUCCACUGAAUGGCCCUGUUAUCAUGGAGCUUCAAGGGCAGCAUCAAAAUGAAAACUAUAAGCCAGGGCAAAGUAAAUAAUUUCCAUAUUAAAGCAUCGUGCUGCAUGCUUGGACCUAAGUUGUUUGUCUUUAAUCAUUUAGGCGAGCGUUGCAUUUUUCACUCUUCUAAGGCCAACUCAGCGAUGUUUAGAGAUUUUUGAAAAUGUAAACUUACGCUACAGAAUAAUGGUGAGCUAUAUAAAUAAACAAUUAUAGUUGUGGUUUUUUGAUCUGACCACAAGCUUUUAAUGCCAUUUUUGCAUGAGCAUAUAAUGCUUCUGGAUAAAUGAUAAUGUUUAUAUUGUCAGUGGCAUCUACUGUUGUACUGAGUCAUUUACAUAUGUGAUUAUUUGGAUAUAGAGUAAUGCAAGAACAAAAGAACACUAUAAAAUGAUUGAAAACAAGACCAACAGGAAAUCCUUUAUAGCUUAAAUAGCACUUCUUAAAUAAAGCCAUGGAGUUUUUGUGUUUUGA
This is a long non-coding RNA of Mustela lutreola (European mink), 3052 nucleotides long. RefSeq lists it as uncharacterized. Lineage: Eukaryota; Metazoa; Chordata; Mammalia; Carnivora; Mustelidae. The transcript is spliced from 11 exons. The record is from RefSeq and is a predicted model, not a curated record.